UACGGGGGGGGCAAGCGUUGUUCGGAAUUACUGGGCGUAAAGGGCUCGUAGGCGGCCAACUAAGUCGGACGUGAAAUCCCCAGGCUCAACCUGGGAACUGCGUCUGAUACUGGAUGGCUUGAAUCCGGGAGAGGGAUGCAGAAUUCCAGGUGUAGCGGUGAAAUGCGUAGAUAUCUGGAGGAACACCGGUGGCGAAGGCGGCAUCCUGGACCAAUACUGACGCUGAGGAGCGAAAGCCAGGGGAGCAAACGGG
Molecule: ribosomal RNA, 253 nt
Filed under: uncultured bacterium
Lineage: Bacteria
Description: partial 16S ribosomal RNA
Rfam family: Bacterial small subunit ribosomal RNA
Source: RNAcentral